Hordeum vulgare subsp. vulgare (domesticated barley) is the source of this 136-nucleotide non-coding RNA. Lineage: Eukaryota; Viridiplantae; Streptophyta; Magnoliopsida; Poales; Poaceae. The record is from Rfam.
CAAGUACUCCCUCCGUCUCAAAUUUUUUGUCUUAGCUUUGUCUAGAAAUGGAUGUAUCAAAACACUAAAACUUGACUAGAUACAUUCAUACCUAAACAAAUCUAAGACAAGAAUUUUGGGACGGAGGGAGUAGUUG